This is a long non-coding RNA of Papaver somniferum (opium poppy), 659 nucleotides long. RefSeq lists it as uncharacterized. The record is from RefSeq and is a predicted model, not a curated record. NCBI's taxonomy places the organism in Eukaryota, Viridiplantae, Streptophyta, Magnoliopsida, Ranunculales, Papaveraceae. The transcript has 2 exons.
CUUUUAUCUCCUUCGAUUUUAGUUUCCAUCUUCUCCUCCUCUUCGUUCAUGUUUCUCUCCGUCGAAAGAAAUCGAAAAUCAAACAUUCAAUUCUGAAAGAGGCGAUACAAAAACUGUGAUUUGAUCAAAACUUCUUUUCAUAGAGUCUCCAACAAUUUUUUCUCCCUACCCUGUUUAUUCUCUGCUACUUGAACAAAUGUUUUCCUGGUGUUAGGUUUCAAACUUUGGGGUUCUGGAAGAAAAAGAUGAAGCGAAAGAUUUAUGGUUGCCCAAGUAAAGACGUAUGAAUAUUGAUUCAAAACUCGAAACUGCUUCUGAUUUUCUAAAGGUGUACAGGAGAGGUACGAAACUUAGCUGCUGGUGGUGGCCAUUGAUCUAUGCUGGCUGAUUCAUGUUCCUAGAAAGAGUUGUUUGAAUUCAGCCUUGCUGACUGUGUGAUUCCCUCAAAUAUGCCUGUGAUAAGUUGUGUACGUCUUAACAGAGAAUAUCAAAUAUAUAAGAGAAUCUUAUCUGUGUGUAACACAAAAAAAAAAAAAAAAAAACCCGAGAACGAUACCUUUUAUAGGCUUACAUGUUUCUGCCUAAAUAUAAUAUGUGAGAACAUUUUAUUUGUGUAGAUUUUAGAGACUAUUCAAUGAAAGUUUGUUUUGUAGGUUUUA